RNAcentral lists this ribosomal RNA (520 nucleotides) under Tintinnidium cf. primitivum. Its description in RNAcentral is "eukaryotic LSU rRNA". The stretch from base 134 to 285 matches the Rfam family "5.8S ribosomal RNA". The record is from RNAcentral. Lineage: Eukaryota; Ciliophora; Spirotrichea; Tintinnida; Tintinnidiidae.
GUAGGUGAACCUGCGGAAGGAUCAUUAACACUAAUCCAAACCAACUCAACCAUGCCAACGUGUUGCAAGCGAAAGCUCUGCAGCUACACACAAAUCUAACCAAAAGAACUGUAACUAAGCUAAACAAAAACCAAAUCCUCAACGAUGGAUAUCUAGGUUCCUACAACGAUGAAGAACGCAGCGAAGUGCGAAAAGCAAUGCGAAUUGCAGAUCCGUGAGUCAUCAGAUUUUUGAACGUAACUGGCUCCGCAGGGUAUCCCUUGCGGAAUGCUUCUUUCAGUGUGUAUUUUUCUCCUCACCCAAAGCAUAAUGUGGUAGAUGCCCUUCUACUACUAAGCGAGCAAGCACUCUGAGCUCUGCGGUGUCUCUUCGGGGACACACUCAAUGCAGCAGUCACAUUCUCCAAUGUGAACUCAUUGAGAGCAAGCCAGCGCAGCCUGUCUGCCAGUGCUUAGACACUCAAAUUUUCACAGCAUCUGAAAUGAAGUAGGACCACCCGCUGAACUUAAGCAUAUCAGUA